UUACUGGGCGUAAAGGGCGYGUAGGYGGAWUGGUCAGUCAAGGGUGAAAUCUACSRGCUUAACYCGGGAAUUGCCYUCGAUACUGCCAUUCUUGAGUGCAGGAGGGGGAAGUGGAAUUCCUGGUGUAGCGGUGAAAUGCGYAGAUAUCAGGAGGAACACCGGUGGCGAAGGCGGCUUUCUGGCCYGAUACUGACRCUGAGGCGCGAAAGCGUGGGUAGCAAACAGGAUUAGAUACCCUGGUAGUCCACGCCGUAAACGAUGGGUACUAGRUGUWGGAGGAAUUGAUCCCCUCUUUGGCCGAACCUAA
This 307-nucleotide ribosomal RNA is filed under the name uncultured bacterium. RNAcentral describes it as "partial 16S ribosomal RNA". It matches the Rfam family "Bacterial small subunit ribosomal RNA", at positions 551 to 855 of the family's 1533-position model. The record is from RNAcentral.